CCUACGGGUGACAGCAGUGGGGAAUAUUGCACAAUGGUGGAAACCCUGAUGCAGCGACGCCGCGUGAGUGAAGAAGUAAUUCGUUACGUAAAGCUCUUUCAGCAGGGAAGAAACACUGACCUUACGGUCAGCAGACGGUAUCUGAGUAAGAAGCCCCGUCUAACUACGUGCCAGCAGACGCGGUAAUAAGUAGGGGGCAAGCGUUAUCCGGAUUUAAUGGGUGUAAAGGGGGCGUAGACGGUGCGGCAUGUCUGGAGUGAAAUGCCGCAGCUUAACUGCCGAACUGCCUUGGAAACUGGCGAACUAGAGUGCGGGAGAGGUAAGCGGAAUGCCUGGUGUAGCGGUGAAAUGCGUAGAUA
This 359-nucleotide ribosomal RNA is filed under the name uncultured bacterium. RNAcentral describes it as "partial 16S ribosomal RNA". It matches the Rfam family "Bacterial small subunit ribosomal RNA", at positions 338 to 696 of the family's 1533-position model. The record is from RNAcentral.